UCUCCGUAGGUGAGCCUGCGGAGGGAUCAUUA
Molecule: ribosomal RNA, 32 nt
Filed under: Ramularia veronicicola
Lineage: Eukaryota; Fungi; Ascomycota; Dothideomycetes; Mycosphaerellales; Mycosphaerellaceae
Description: partial 18S ribosomal RNA
Source: RNAcentral